UUUGAUAGAAGGGCACAUUUGACCUGUUGUUCAGAUCAGAAGUUCCUGUUUUUGUACUAUCAAACUUCAGGGAACCAGUACGCUCUAAUAUGCAAUUAAAGGUAUGUUGAUUUUUGCAGCACAAGUCAGGAUAAGGUACAGUUUUGACAUGAAAUAACUGCCACUUUAUUUGAACUUAAGACAAAGAAGCCAUUAAUGCUUGAAAUUGCAGAAUUUAACAUAGAAAGCAAUGGGGCUAUGAAUUAGUGGUUUUACACCUAUUAAUGAUAAUUUCUA
Molecule: long non-coding RNA, 276 nt
Filed under: Mytilus galloprovincialis (Mediterranean mussel)
Lineage: Eukaryota; Metazoa; Mollusca; Bivalvia; Mytilida; Mytilidae
Source: RNAcentral